UCCCCUCCCUCCGCCGUGCGCGCGGCCGGGCUCGGCGGGUGCCGUGAUUGGAAUCCGGCUCCGGCCCGCCCCGCCCGCUCCGCAGGGACGCGCCGGGCGUCGGGAGCGCCUGCCGGGGAGCGAGCCUGCGCCGAGCCGCCCCGCCCCGCCCCGCCCCGCCCUCCCCCUCCCGGCGCUCGGCCGCCUUCGCUCCCGUCUCCCAGGAGCCGUCGGGGUCCCGGGCGCGGCCUGCGUAACGCAGCGGGAGCGGCUCCCUCCUGCUUCGCCUUCUCUCCCGCCGCAGAGGAUGAGGAGCCCCCCGGAGCGGGGUGUCAACCACAGCAGAAGACCGUGUUAGCUGUGGGGACAGUCUUCAGUAUUCUCAGAGGAAGCUCAGACCGUGUGUGUACCUCCGCAGUUGAGGUAAAAUAGUUGUUUUUUUAGAUCUCUUAUGAACAGAAGCACUUCUCAGAACUGUUUUGGGUACUUGGAGAGCUGUGGGCUGUGAUGAAAGUAGUUGUUGUACAGCACAAUCUUUAACCCACUUGGUUUAGUAGAAAGCUUGGCAAAUCAGAUUCUGACUUGAUGUCUUCAUGCUGGAUGAACUAGCCAACUUUGAUGUGUCACCCGUGCUGUAAGCUGAUGAGAUUGCCUUUGGGAAUGGCCUACUGAAGAACUGCUUUUAUUUAACAACAAGCUGCUGUCAGAUAGCUUUCAGCCCCAAAGUCUGGAGAAUCAGCUGAUUUUUCACUCUCUUGGCUCAUUGGACCUGUCAGUGAAGAAUAUUUGAGACAACUGAAAGAUACGCUUUACUGUGAGCAUGGAGCCUGCUUGUAAAGCAGCUAUAGAUGAUUAGCCCCAUUAAGUCCUCUGGGUGACUCCAGAUGGUGUAGGUAUGCCAGAAUGGACUAGUAAGAAAAGUGAAGAUUUAAAACCUUUCUGCUGUAGGAAUAUUACAUCUUCCGGGACGAAGUAAGAGCCUAGUGGAAUUUUCUGUUCUUUUUGCCAAGGCAGACUUCUGUUACGUAUCUAAGUCAGUAUCACAGGAGGUUUAUGUCUGGAUUCUCAUCAUGACCCCAGUAAAAAACUCAUUGUGUGACAAGGAAUUCUGAAGGGUACGGUGCCUUAUGAUAUAUGUACCAGUACUUUUGUCACUGCAUAAAACUCAGUCACUCUUUCUUUCUGUCUCAUACUGCACAGUCCAGCGUCACUCAGGAACUUAAUUAAAUUUUAAAAUUAGUUUUCAUGGGGGUAUAUUUUUAUUGAAGUGGGAGAUUGAUCAAAAACUGUCUUGCCUCAAGGAUUGGAUAAAGGUGCUUGAACCGUUUUUCAGGCUCUUUUAAUAUCGUGCUACCCGAUAUUCAGGCUGCAGAGCACUAAGUUUGUUCACCCCUAGCAUCACUUCGUUUUGUGUAUUGGUCCCAUAUGUUUUGAAAGGGCUAUUUGUUUACUAGGAUGCUCAUAGAUACCUUUAUUGUUCCACAGACAACACCACCAAUCCUCAGAUGUGCUGCAGGCCAUAUUUGUUCUUUUCCAGCUUAGUGUGGCUUUUCUCACAUGUACAUUUGUUGAAAAGGAUUUCCUUAAGAAAUUCGUAUCCUUGAACGUGAACUUUGAAAUAGUACUUGAAAAUUUGGUAUGGCAGCUUUUUAAAAUUCGACUCUAAUUUUACAGCUAUAUUGGACUUGUCAUAGCAGUCUAAUCAUGGUUUUGAUCAGUUUAUAGCUUACAGCAGCUCUGGCUACAUUUUCCAGUGGCAGUCAUAAGACUGAAGUAUCUUCCAGGGUACUCUCACAGCCUGGACUUGCAGUGUAUUUUCUGUGUUCACAAAUUUCUAAUAAAAACUUAUUUUUUGCCUGUGGUUUGCCCUAA
Molecule: long non-coding RNA, 1851 nt
Organism: Phasianus colchicus (ring-necked pheasant)
Lineage: Eukaryota; Metazoa; Chordata; Aves; Galliformes; Phasianidae
Source: Ensembl